GUGCCAGCCCGCGGUAAUACGAAAGGUGCAAGCGUUGUUCGGAUUUACUGGGCGUAAAGAGAUCGUAGGUGGUUUGUUAAGUCGGGUGUGAAAUCCCGGGGCUCAACCCCGGAACUGCAUUCGAUACUGGCAGGCUAGAGUUCGGGAGGGGGAAGCGGAAUUCCGUGUGUAGCAGUGAAAUGCGUAGAUAUNCGGAGGAACACCUGAGGCGAAGGCGGCUUCCUGGACCGAUACUGACNCUGAGGAUCGAAAGCGUGGGUAGCAAACAGGAUUAGAUACCCUGGUAGUCCACCCCGUAAACGAUGUCAACUAGCCGUUGGGUCCCUUGCUGGACUUGGUGGCGCAGCUAACGCGAUAAGUUGACCGCCUGGGGAGUACGGCCGCAAGGUUAAAACUCAAAGGAAUUGACGG
RNAcentral lists this ribosomal RNA (411 nucleotides) under uncultured bacterium. RNAcentral describes it as "bacterial SSU rRNA". It matches the Rfam family "Bacterial small subunit ribosomal RNA", at positions 505 to 916 of the family's 1533-position model. The record is from RNAcentral.